AUGAAAAAGAAGAAAAUUAAUUGCAUGUAUAGACGUACAUUUCAAGUUAUAUUAUCAACCUCAUUUAUAUAUAUGAUAAAUCAAACAGCAGUACAUUGAUAUAAUACGGAAAGUUUCAUGAAUUUAUAAGAAUCCUUAUAUUUAUUUAAAAACUCUAACCUAGAAUAAACAGCCUAAGUCUGACGUCACAGAGACGGGCGGAGCUUAUACCGACUUUUCGUGGUUUAUGUGAUAAAAUAAGUCUUUUCAGUUGAAUAUUUUGUUGAAGGAACGUACUAUUUAAGAGGUUUUUAUCAGUUUUUCCCUAGUACCUUUUUGUUUGUUUGGACUUUGACUCUGAUUUUCAGGUAAUCAGAGGGGAAGUAUUUGCUAGUAUGAAAAGCAAAAGCUACAAGGUAUCUAUAGUGUUGGCAUUAAAGAAGCCACCUGUACUUGUCCCAGGGGUAUAAAAUGCCAUCACAUUGCGGCGUUGGCACUUUUUGGGCAUUACAAUAUAUCUGUAACAGAUAAAGCGUGUGCAUGGAAGGCACUACCUAAACCGAAGGUUGGGCCAGUGAAAUCUGCAGAAGAGCUUUAUCCACCAAAGCUCUAUAUCUCUUGAGGUGGGGUACCAGAAUCAUCAAUCAACAGAACGGCUACACAGCUUUGGAAAUACUGUUGGUUUUACCUGACUAUUAAACAAGGAAUCAAUAAAUUUGGUGGAAAAUGGAUUUCUGGUAAUUGAAGAAAUAAUUUCUUCUAAGGACUUUUUGGAGGCCACAGAUAAACUAACUGUGUUGCUGAUCAGCUAAUAAAAGAAAUCUUUAUCACCACCAUUGGCCAGGUGACAAAUGAAAAAUGGUACCUUGCAAGAAAAUUUAGAUUAACUAUUAGCAACUUUAGGAGAAACAGAUUCCCAAUGAGUUUGUUCAACACGCUCUUAGGUGAAUACAAUUUGGAUGGUAUCAAAGCAAUCUAGUGGAUGUAAAACUCAUGAAAAAGAUGCUCUAGAUCAUUUGAAGCAGAUUUAUAAUUUAAAUGUUCGACCAACUGGAGUAUAGCUUACAAAUUCAGGACUUCUUGGUGCUAGACCUGAUGGAAUAAUUGAUGAAGAAGAAGCCAUUGUAGAAGUGAAAUGAAUAUUCUUUCAGAAAUGAUCAGUUGUCCGAAAAAUUGAGGAAUUUUAAUAAAUAUAUAGUUUUUUAUGACGAUGAGGGUAACUUGAUCUUAAAUACAAGUCACAAUUAUUAUCACCAAAUUCAAGGAGCUUUACAUAUUUUAAAAAACAAAAAAUGUUACUUAUGUAUUUAUACCUUGAAGGAAAGUUGUUAGACAAUUAAAUAAAAAUUUUUGACAUGUUUUUCAAUGUGAUUUUAGGUUAUUCUACAGUGUUAGCUGAUAUAGUAUACAGUUGGAAAAAUCUUUACUAUUUAUUUUAGACUGAAAAGCCACUCUAUACAAAUUUUUGUUUGCUGAGGAUAUCAGAAAAUUAUGUUUUUUUAAUAUAAAUGCACAAUGCCAUUUUGUCAAUAAAGAUUUUUGAAACAAAGUUUAGCUAUUUUAAAUUGCUGUAUUGAAUACACUAUAGUUGAGUGAUUUUUUUUCUGUACACAAAACUUGUAAAAUGAACUAAAACACUGCUUGUGGCUUAAUAAUUUAUUUGAUGAUUGUAAAGACUGUAGUCUACUGAUAAGAAAUCAAAUUGUAUUUGUUCACUUUAUGAAAAUUGUGGUUGGAUUUACAGGCUUUUAUUAGAUUAGAAAAACAGUAUUAUUACUUUUAACAAUAAUUGUAUUAUAUCGAGUCAUUUAUAAAUUAAGUAAAAUCUAAAUAUACAUUUUUAAAAUAAAAA
This is a long non-coding RNA of Diorhabda sublineata, 1831 nucleotides long. RefSeq lists it as uncharacterized. NCBI's taxonomy places the organism in Eukaryota, Metazoa, Arthropoda, Insecta, Coleoptera, Chrysomelidae. The record is from RefSeq and is a predicted model, not a curated record. The transcript is spliced from 4 exons.